This 28-nucleotide non-coding RNA is filed under the name Rattus norvegicus (Norway rat). The record is from RNAcentral. Lineage: Eukaryota; Metazoa; Chordata; Mammalia; Rodentia; Muridae.
UGAUUAUGAAAUCAAAGGGAUGAAGAGC